CUACAAGUACCGUGAGGGAAAGUUGCAAAGCACUUUGAAGAGAGAGUUAAAGAGGACGUGAAACCGGUAGGAUGGAAACGGAUAGAGCUAGCGAAGCCGUUUGCAUUCAAUCGAAAGUUGUGGUGACAAGCCUUUCAGUGUGUUAAUCCUUCGGGUGGCCUUGUUCACUGCAGCUGAGGUGUUUUUGUAAAUGGCUGCGCUGAGACUUGUGGGACUUUGAUUGAACAUUUGAAUAGAGGCUUCCCUCUGGGUUGAACCUCGUCAUUUUGACAAUCAUUCGUCCUGCUCGUAUGGGCUUGGCCUACGAGUCUGGGUGUUGUGGUUGCUUUUCGUUUCGGRUUCACAUGUGAAUACUGGGUCGGAAGGUAGCUAUUGCGCCCAGAUUCACUUGCCCACUCUCAGUGUAGAAGCUGGUCACCUAUCCGACCCGUCUUGAAACACGGACCAAGGAGUUUAGCGUAUACGCGAGCCAUUGGGYGUUGAAAACCCAAAGRCACAAUGAAAGUGAAGGCUCAGCAGCUGAGCUUACAUGUGAGUGGAAAGUCUUYGGACGACCACGCAACAUGGUCCCGUUCUGAUUGCUUGCAAUGGAGCGGAGAUAGAGCGUAUGCGCUGAGACCCGAAAGAUGGUGAACUAUUCCUGA
RNAcentral lists this ribosomal RNA (644 nucleotides) under Paratylenchus nainianus. RNAcentral describes it as "partial large subunit ribosomal RNA". Lineage: Eukaryota; Metazoa; Nematoda; Chromadorea; Rhabditida; Tylenchulidae. The record is from RNAcentral.